This 354-nucleotide unclassified non-coding RNA is filed under the name soil metagenome. Its description in RNAcentral is "partial contains 5.8S ribosomal RNA, internal transcribed spacer 2, and large subunit ribosomal RNA". The stretch from base 1 to 120 matches the Rfam family "5.8S ribosomal RNA", at positions 35 to 154 of the family's 154-position model. The record is from RNAcentral.
GAUGAAGAACGUAGCGAAAUGCGAUAACUAAUGUGAAUUGCAGAAUUCAGUGAAUCAUCGAGUCUUUGAACGCACAUUGCGCCCUCUGGUAUUCCGGAGGGCAUGCCUGUCCGAGCGUCAUUGCUGCCCUCAAGCACGGCUUGUGUGUUGGGCCCCCGUCCCCCCCCUCUGCCGGGGGGACGGGCCCGAAAGGCAGCGGCGGCACCGCGUCCGGUCCUCGAGCGUAUGGGGCUUCGUCACCCGCUCUUGUAGGCCCGGCCGGCGCCAGCCGACCCCAACCCUAAAUUUUUUUCAGGUUGACCUCGGAUCAGGUAGGGAUACCCGCUGAACUUAAGCAUAUCAAUAAGCGGAGGA